GCUGAACUUAAGCAUAUCAAUAAGCGGAGGAAAAGAAACCAACAGGGAUUGCCCUAGUAACGGCGAGUGAAGCGGCAACAGCUCAAAUUUGAAAUCUGGCGCAAGCCCGAGUUGUAAUUUGUAGAGGAUGCUUCUAGGUAGCGACCGGUCUAAGUUCCUUGGAACAGGACGUCAUAGAGGGUGAGAAUCCCGUAUGUGACCGGCCCGCACCUUCUACGUAGCUCCUUCGACGAGUCGAGUUGUUUGGGAAUGCAGCUCUAAAUGGGAGGUAAAUUUCUUCUAAAGCUAAAUACCGGCCAGAGACCGAUAGCGCACAAGUAGAGUGAUCGAAAGAUGAAAAGCACUUUGGAAAGAGAGUUAAAAAGCACGUGAAAUUGUUGAAAGGGAAGCGCUCACAACCAGACUUCUGGGCGGUGUUCCGCCGGUCUUCUGACCGGUCUACUCACCGUCCCGAGGCCAACAUCAUCUGGGACCGCCGGAUAAGACCUCAGGAAUGUAGCUCCCCUCGGGGAGUGUUAUAGCCUGUGGUGAUGCGGCGCGUCUCGGGUGAGGUCCGCGCUUCGGCAAGGAUGUUGGCGUAAUGGUUGUCAGCGGCCCGUCUUGAAACACGGACCAAGGAGUCUAACAUCUAUGCGAGUGUUCGGGUGUCAAACCCCUACGCGUAAUGAAAGUGAACGGAGGUGGGAAGGGUAACCUGCACCAUCGACCGAUCCUGAUGUCCUCGGAUGGAUUUGAGUAAGAGCAUAGCUGUUGGGACCCGAAAGAUGGUGAACUAUGCCUGAAUAGGGUGAAGCCAGAGGAAACUCUGGUGGAGGCUCGCAGCGGUUCUGACGUGCAAAUCGAUCGUCAAAUUUGGGUAUAGGGGCGAAAGACUAAUCGAACCAUCUAGUAGCUGGUCCUG
This 901-nucleotide ribosomal RNA is filed under the name Ramularia plurivora. RNAcentral's name for it is "eukaryotic LSU rRNA". It matches the Rfam family "Eukaryotic large subunit ribosomal RNA", at positions 27 to 959 of the family's 3401-position model. The record is from RNAcentral. Lineage: Eukaryota; Fungi; Ascomycota; Dothideomycetes; Mycosphaerellales; Mycosphaerellaceae.